AUUUAGUGCAAACGCCAUUUGGACUCAAACCCGGAAGUAUUUCCAUGCAAACAAAUAGGAGGUAAUCCUUGGUAAGACAUAAUCUGGUCGGUGGGUGGGGUAUGCUGGAGCCUAUCCCAGCUGGAUAGAGGCAGCCCCCAGAGGCAGGGAACUCCCAGACUGGUCGCCAGCCAAUCGCAGCUUUUCCUAUCUAUGGAAGGACGGUAGUGACGAGCACCUUUCAGCUCAAGCACGCCUUCACCCCUUCAGGAUGACACAGACACCUUUAGUUGCCUCUAAUCCAGACGACAACGGCAGGAGGAUCCAUGUCCUGUCAAACAUAAUCCAGAUGGAUUACGGCGAUCUGAGCGGAGGGAGGAAGAACUUCAGGGGCGUGAAGGUCUGCACUUUGGACUCCUGCGCCGUGGAGGGCGGUAGAGAGUGGUUUAUGGGCUUUGAUGUCAUUGUUGCUCGUUGCCUCCACCAAACGCAGUGUUCAAAACAGUGGUGAAAAGUCCCGAAUAGAUUUGGAUGAAGCUUUCAGCAUUUUUUGGAAGUGGGAUAUUGAAGAACUGAUCAUAUUUUUGGGGUGAUCCAUAUCACUGCCUAGAUUCAGGAAUUCUUUAAAAGAUUCUUUAACAUUAUGAGAUGGGACCAGUUUUGGCAUUUGUACAUAUAACUCCACAAUAUGACUGAGUCACAAUAUGGGGGGGGGGGGACUAUGGCGCUUGACGGACACAACUUCAUUGUUUGCAAAUAUCAAAGCAUGAUGUAGACUGUAAACGGUAGGUGUAAAUAAGUUGUGCAGUAGCAGCAUUUUGUGCCAAUGUACACUUUUUCAGUCAUGAAUUGUGUGUUAAGUUUUGAAGUAAUGCAUUAACAGAACACAACAUACCAUGUAAGUUAGUGAUUCUCAGCAGGUUUGGCUGUGGGACCGACUAUUGCCCCUUUCAAUCCCAGCCAUAAAAAAACCAAAAAAAAAAGUACUGGCCAUUUUAGACGAUAUUUAGAUAAAAGAAACAUUCAUCAGAAAAAAAUUUGUUUCUACCUUUUUUCGUACUUUAGUAAUCAGCAGUAGAACAUAGGUACGUUUCAGGAAAAUAUCAGUUCCUGACUAAAACAGAGAAAACACACUUUUUUUUCGUACUUUAGUAAUCAGCAGUAGAACAUAGGUACGUUUCAGGAAAAUAUCAGUUCCUGACUAAAACAGAGAAAACACACUUUUUUUCGUACUUUAGUAAUCAGCAGUAGAACAUAGGUACGUUUCAGGAAAAUAUCAGUUCCUGACUAAAACAGAGAAAACACACUUUUUGACACCACUACAAGGUACACUUCCUGUCC
This is a non-coding RNA of Doryrhamphus excisus (bluestripe pipefish), 1320 nucleotides long. The record is from RefSeq and is a predicted model, not a curated record. NCBI's taxonomy places the organism in Eukaryota, Metazoa, Chordata, Actinopteri, Syngnathiformes, Syngnathidae.